Long non-coding RNA from Cebus imitator (Panamanian white-faced capuchin), 8262 nucleotides. RefSeq lists it as uncharacterized. The record is from RefSeq and is a predicted model, not a curated record. The transcript has 4 exons. NCBI's taxonomy places the organism in Eukaryota, Metazoa, Chordata, Mammalia, Primates, Cebidae.
UGUAUAAAAUUACUUUCAUACUUAUAUGAAAGUAGUAUGAAAGUAAUUUUAUACAAUAAUUAUGUAAGGUGUAUGUGAAACAUAAAUGAAUUUUGUGUUUAUACUGGGGCCCCAUCCCCAAGUGGGUGUCUGAGCAAAUCUUCCAAAAUUCAGGAAAAUUCGAAAUCCAAAACAAUUCUGGUACCAAGCAUUUUGGAUAAGGGACUCUCAUCCUGUAUAUGCAUUAUCAUUGAAGGCAGCAUGUGAUACAUACUAUGUUAGUUUUACGGAAGUAGCUGCUGAAAUCAAAUAAAAAAGAGUAUGUGAUAAAAUGUACAAGGUGGAAGAGGCGACUUUGGCCUGGGUGAUCUGGGACAGUUUCAUGGAGAGAGAGACUGGGGACUAGGUUUUUUGGUUGGGUGGUUCUUGAAAUAGAAGAACAUUUCUGGCAGUGGGGAAGGCAGUGGGAAAGGCCUGGAGGUGAAAAAGGACAGGAUUUAUUUGGGUCAUGGCAAAUGAAUUUACUCAGAGAAGACGGGGAGGCUAGUCCAGUCAAGGCCUGAGCCACUUGCAGCCUAAGGGGUCUAUAUUGUGUAGGGACCUGAAUGCCAAGUGGGGGGUACCAGAUUUUGCGGUGGUAGGCUCACCUGAUCAGAGUGGCCCUGGAAGAUUAAUAUGUUGGAGAUGUGGGAACUAAAUGGGAGUGGGAACAGACGGAGUCCGUGAGAUCAGCUGUGUUGGUUCUGUGUGUGGCGUAUUGAAUUGGAACGGGAGUUGUAGAAGCAAGUCUGGUGCUGUCACCCCCACUCCACUACCUCCCCGAGAUGGUUUUGAACAUGCUGACACUGUCAGUCAGAGGAAAAGCUUCUAAAGCUCUUCGUAUUCCCUGCCUACCUGGCACCGAGUAGCUAUGAAAUCAUUGUUGAAAGAAUGAGUGAAUCAGCAAUAUAAUUUUGUGCCUGAAGGUGCAGCGAGGGAGGAUUCAGAGUUGAAGCUGAGUCUUUGGCGGCAGGGUGACUGAAUAAACAUGCUUUCUAGUGUAUGGGUAUUGGUGAAGAGAAGAGGAAGAUUGGCUCUGAGGAGGGAUAAGUUAAGAAUUUUGGGUUUGAACAGUUUUAUACCAUCUUGUUCAAUGUAAGGGAUAUUGGUGUUUACAAACUUUAAUAUAUUACUGUUGAGAAUAUAAUUUUCUAAUUCCAGUCAUGCAAAGAGAUCUGAGUGUUCUGAUCUCCAAAGUGAUGUCAAAGAGAUGAUGGAAGGAUCUGGAUUUCUAGUCAACUUACUUGAUGAGAAUGUGUAUUUACAGCAGUUCUUGGUGGUUUGGGAUCUUUAGGUCUCAUUUCUCACGUGACUUCUGGUCAUUUAGCCCUUUCACCCCUGUUCACCAUCCAUCUAAACCAUGGAAGGAGCAUGUAGGACUGGAAUUCAAAUGUGUAGAUUUAAAUAAGCUUCUUUUUGGUUAUUCUUACCUUUUCAAGGGAGCGUUGGUCCACAUUAACGCCAGUGACAGAAAGUUAACUGAAUUUUACAUGCUGUUUGUCCCACCUGUCAUUAGAUACAUUGAAGGACUGCUGACCAUCAGAUGUAUGUUUUUAAAUUAGUUUAAUGUCAUGUGUCUAAUUUAAAAAUAGUGUCGUGGUGGGGGCACAUAUGCCAGUCGGAUGCUCUUUGAGCAUGUUCAGAGCAGUGUAAAAUAUUAAGAGGUGACAUAGUUAUAUCUAAAGACUUUUGAAGCCUUCUGUGAAAGCCAGCUUCAAUAGGAACAUCACCUGCAUUAAUAUAUUUAUUACACAGUUCACUUCUGUGAAUUGUAUGUUUUUGUACUUCAUUUUUUCCAGCUACUCCUUUAGUGUUUUUUCAGAAGUUUGUUAUUUAUGGAUUAGCCUAGUAGCUCAUUCUUAUAAUUAUUGCUUUUUUAAAAACCAUGUUUUACAAACAGGUCUUCACCAAAGCAAAAGCGGUAUAAAUCCGAUUGGGGAAUGGUUCAGAGUGAGAAUUGAGCCCUUCUUGCAAUGUGGAAAUUUCCUAUUGUCCAUUUUCCUAGUGCUGGUUUAAGUCCAACUCACCAUAUAUAUGCUUUUGAAACGAGCCAAUUAGGGCAUGUUUAACUAUCAGUAGGCUUAAAUAAAUGUGUUUGCAUUGUGUUGGAAUUUGGACUUAGGACUUUGGAAGGUGGAAAAUUCCAAAUGCAGGUGAAAGAUUUCUGUCACUGGGCUACGUACUUAACAGCCAGUCCUGUCCAAACUUAAUCUGGUAAUGUUUACUGAGCUGGUGAUGUUUAUGGAGUAUAAAUGAGAUAGGCUAUCUUUUCUGUGGGACAUUGGUUAUCUUCACUGGAGGACUUUUGAAAUUGAAAGAAAGCAAAAGUAACAUAAAUUUGAUACUCAGCUAGAGAAGAUGUAUUUAUAUUUAAUUUGUCCUCAUGAUAUAAAGACUUGCUCCGUGUCUUUAAAAAAGUGAUUUUUAAAAAACUUUUCUGAUGUAUGUAAAAGUUACCCAUAUAUACCCAAAAAAUAACAUUCAUUAGUUUUUAAGUUUCUGCUUUCUCAAUAAGUGUCAAAAAUUUCAUUUGUCUCAGAAAAUUGACUUUUAGAAAUAAGGAAAUGUCCUCACAGACGUGCAAACAAAAUAUUCUUAUGUAUGAGUUUUUAAAAAAAUAAAAGAAAAAACCUAGUAACCAAAAAUCUAAGGAACCAAAAUCUAAGCUGUUUUUACUACAGUGUUAAUAUCUUAAAGCCAAUACCUACAUUCAUUUCUUCUUUGUUUUCCAAGUUCAAAAUGAGGAGACAUUUAUUUCUGUGCUUCCUAUUACUAAUUUAAAAAAAUGUUGAAUAUUGUGGGAUAAUUCCUAACAUGUAUGGAAAAUUAUAUUGUUUGCUGAGAAUGAUGGCAAGGAAAACAAAUCGACUCCCAAGCCGAAAACUGCUUGGGGCAUUCUAAAGCAGUAGACAAUAUAUGUAUAUCAUACACCAGUUAAACUAAUUCUUCAAACAUGGGACUUGUGAUCCUUCCCCCAUGGCUCCCUCCGGGAGAAUGCUUGCUAGUUUGUGUUUGAUCAGUGGUAAGCAGGCAUCAGCUGCCUGGCUAGUUAAUCUUGGCUCUAUGAGAAAACACAGAACACCUGUUUGUUAAUAAUAAUCACCUGUUCAGAUAGAAGAACUGUGCGGGUCACAGUGAGGCUGUCAGCUCGACAGGGUAUCAGCCCCUGAGGCUGUCAGCCUGGAAGGCUGCUUAUUCCCUGAUAGUCCCACUUUGCACUCUAUCUUUGUGUCUGUUUCUUAAUUCCUUCAGCACUGCCUAGGUAGGGGUCUCCACGACCGAGCUGGUCUCUGUAGAAUAUCAAAAAUGAAAAAUUGCAGAAAAAUAAACAGUAAGAGCUAAAGUUCUCCUUUAUUUACAUGUUAUUGUCAAGAUUGCCUGCUACUGGAUUACCUAGUGCAAAUUGGGAUGUUUUUGAUUAACUUUGCUGGAUUUUGACAUUGUCACUUCUCUUUUACCUCUAUUUAGUCUUUGUAUGCUUAGAAACUGCCAGUUUAGUAUAAUAUUAGGUGAAAAGAAAAUGGUUAGAAAUAUAAAUAAAAUCUUUAGUUGAUAGUAUUGUACCAAUGUUAAUUUUUUAGUUUAGAAUAUUAUACUACGGCUAUGUAAGAUAUUAACCUUAUAGAAGCUGGGUAAAGGGUAUGGGGGAACUGAGCUAUUGCUACAGUUCUUCUGUUAUCUGAAAAUUAUUUCAAAAUAAGCUAAACAAUGAUUAGCCUAACUCAACAGCUACAAAGUUAUUAGUGUAUUGCAAAACCAGAGAGAAGUGAUUUGUGUGUUGUAGAGAAUGGACAGAUUCUCUUCUAUUUGGAUGGUUGAAAUCCUUGUUCAUUUUCGUUGACCUGAAAAAUUGGGAGUUGAUGCUGUAUCUUACGAGGAUGAAGAUGCUGUUAGAGUAUGUUUAGUAAAUGCAGACAUCUUUUUUUGUGUUAUGCAUCUCUAUGUGCAUAAAUACACGACAGAUACCAAUUUGCAUAUAUACAUGCAGUAUGCGCUCCUAAAUGAGGUGAUUGGCUUUUUAAAAAUAUCACAGAAUUUCAUUUUAACUUGCUACACAUUUGUUUUCUUGAUGAGAUGGCAGCAAUCAUUUGCCUUUUGAGAAUAAAUUAGAUUCUUAUAUUUUGGAAACACCAGCAUGUGAUUUGGGGCUUCAUGGGUAAGUUGAGCGAUCAGAAUUUUUAGCACUGAGUUGAAUCUGAAUUUAAGAAAUGAGUUUUUAAAAAAAUAAGUGAACUGGCUCUGAAUUUAUUUCCAAAGAAUGGCACAGAUCUUUGUGUGGUUCCUGCAUCAUUGGACUAAGUCUAAUCUUUGUGGAUUUCAACUUUAAAGGAUAUGACUUAUUUGUGUACUUCAUUUGUUUGUUAUAAGUGAGUAGUGCCAUCUGUAUUAACAGAGAGAUGGAAGACUUCAAGGUUUUUCAGCAGUUGCUUUCCCUAGGCCCAUGCUCUAGCUAAGUGUGGACAUUCACCUGGACAUUGGGCUGCAUUUCCAGGCUUCACUAGUUCCACCCCAUUUUACCCUCUCUGAACCCACUCUUCUUGUUCUAGGGUAGCACUGUUAUUAGAGCUUUCUAUGCUGAUGGAAAUGUAUGUCUGCACCGUCCAGUGUAGCAGUCACUGGCCACAUGCGGCUGUCGGGCACUUGAAGCAUAGCUAGUGUGACUGAACAACUGAAUUUUAAAUCGUACUUAAUUUUAGAGAAUAAAUUUAGAUUGCCACAUGUGGCUAGAGGCUCCUGUAGCAGGCAGCACAGACUGAGGGCUGCCAUUGCCAAUUCCUUGAAUGGUCUACCUGGAAUGCCAGUUUAAGUGUGAAAGGAGAGAAUGAACGCAGACACUGAUAGUAUAACUAAGUUGUCUGUUGUUCUCAUAUGAAAUUCCCUUUAUAAGCGUUUUAAUUGAUUGGUGCCGAAAUGAUGGUACUGUGUUGACUCCUUGUUUUUGGGUUGCCCUUUGUGAGAGGUACUCUUUGGGUACCACUUUGAAACCUGCUUUUCUUUUACAUAAAUUUUUUCAUGUCAGUAAACACGCUUCUGACUCGUUUUUAAUGACUGGUAGUGUUCUGUUUUAUUGAUGUGCAAUCAUUUGCUUAUCUUCUAUUUAUCCUUUUUCAAAGUUUUUAUGUUACCUACAAAUUCAAGAAGAUAUCUUUGUUUUGUGACUUAGGAAAUUCCUGGGACUCAAAUAGCCAAGUGAAAGGGUAGGGAUAUAUUUAGGGUUUUGUAGUGGUGGUUUGUUUAAUGCACACUCCAAAAGUGCCCCCUGCUGCCAAGCACCCUCCCCCACCAGUUUGUACCAUUUUACUCUCUAAAUUGGUGUUUGUGACAGAUUGUUAAUCAGAGUGAGAAACACUUGAGGGAUUGUGUGUUCACUCAAAGGCUGCUUUAAGGCAGCAUCUCACACUCGUCUGUCUGCUCUUUCUGCUCUGUUCAGGGCAAAAAUCAAGUGGCCUUGAAUGUGGUGUAUUUGAUAUUUGGCUUCAUUUGGUUGGCAGGGGCUGGGGGUGGUCCAGAAGGGGCCUGCAUAGGUGGGAUUGAGGCCUAUCAGGCAGGGUUCCUGGGAGGUCCCACCAGCACUCCCUCUGCUUGCAGUUCUGCUUCAUGCUGCCUUUUGUGUGGCUUAGUAGAGAAAUUCUGUCCCUGGGGUAGUAGGUCUGGGGCCUUUCAGCUCUCUCUAAACCAAGUACAGAAGAGAGAGGGGCCCUUGUGUUUCCUACCUGCAUGACAGCGCUGCUGCCCUUUCGGACAGUGACAGCCCCGUCCGAGCACAGUGGUGUAUUUUUCAUGAGGCUGGGCUGACCUGCUGGAUUAAGCCGAGUUCCAGGCUGGCCUUGAAGAUAGGUGCUUAUUUUAAAUUUGGGACCAAAGGUGGCCUUUGUUCUUUCACGUUUUUGUUAGGAUGCUGUUUUAUCUUAGUUUUGAGAAAGGUUUCAAGUUUUUCAAGACGUUUCUUGAAAAAGUGGCUUCCAUUUUUAAAAAGUAAGUUUAAAACUGUGGGAACAGAUCUGUACCAACAUGUUAAUCUGGGGCAUUGUAUGGCUGGCUACUGGCAAGGAGGCAAAAUCCCCAGGCUUUAGAAUUGAUGGUGAAAAGAUUUUCUCUUUCAACAAGUACUGGACAUGUACAAAAUGCAGAGCUUAUGAAGAUGGGAAUAACAGUGCUUGCUUAGCAGGGGAUAGAGAGUUGAUGUGAGAAGUAAGAUGUACAAUGAAAAGUCAUGAAACAAGAAAUCUUUGUAAUGAUAGAAGGCGGAAGAGGCCAACGGAUUAACAUGUAUUGCGGACCUGUUGAGUUCUGGCCCCGUGCCGUGCUCUAUGUGCAUUGCUGAGUUCAGUAGGGUGGUAGAGGUAUGUCUGGGCACCCAUGAAGAGUGUCCUGGAGUGUUGCAGGUUGCUUGACCCAUGUCCAUGGGUAGAAUUGGUGGGAGGGGCAGCACUCAAGCUGAGCCUGGGAGCCUCAUUAAUUUUGAUGAAAAGGAAAGGAUGUACUUUCUAGGCACAGAGAGGACCCUGAGAAAGGUUUUCCUCACGAGGCCACAUGGUGGCUGGGGCAUUUGAGCUUUACUCUCAAGGUAGGGAGGAAGGUUUCUUAGCAAGGCAGUGACGUGAUGAAGUUGGAGUUUCAAGGUGAUUUAUUGGGUAUGAGUGAGUAGGCUAUGUGGGAAGAAGGGAGGCUAAAAGCAGGGAAACCAGAAUUUCUGUCUGGAAACAGGGACACCUCCCAGUGUUGUUGGCUGUUGUUACCCUUGUGGAAGUUGCCAAUAGAAGGAUCAGGGCUGGAUCUCUUCAGUCCCAGGGUGGGCUAGAACCCCUGUUCCACCAUGCGCUAGCUGGGAGCUGUGAGCCUGGUGCCUGUCUUCCUUCUCUGUAAAAUGGAACAGUAAAAAAGUGUGUACCUCAUAAAAUGGUUUUGGGUAUAAAAUGAAAUAACAAAAUAAAGUGCUUGGUACAAAGUAACUGUGCUCAAUAAAUAUUAGUUAUUAAUAAUAUUGCUAGGUAAAGGUCAUUUCUUGUGAGAUAACAUGGGCCCACAUCUCAUGGACUGCCUAGUACCCCGAGGAUCUUCCUGGUGAUUUACGUCAUGGAGAUCUGUGCUGCUUGCUCUGUGGAAGUAGUCCAGGGUCAAACAAACAAAAAGCAGUAUGGACUGAUAAAUAUUCAGGCUGAAAUGGCCUUGCAGUGGACUGUGGACAACAUUUGUUACAAGUAUGUGACGUGCUGGUGACCAUGUCCGUCUUGAUUUCCACUCCCGUGUUGGCAUCAGCAGGACAAGAACAGAGCAGGACGGUGAGGCUUGAGGUCCCGCUGCGACCUCGGACCGUAUUUCCUCCUGCCAGAGGCAUCUGCCAAACUGUUAAGGGCGUGGACAUUGUUUAGUUUCAGAGAUGGAUUUGUCAUCACAUUUGCAAAGAUCCACACAGCGUAGGGAAGUUGUGGUCUCAGGAAAGACGUAAACAACUGUUUUUCUAAUUCCUGAGAACCUGGAUUCUUGCUUUCAGAAGACACAGAAGAAAUUCCAAUCAGUUUUUUUAUGGGAAAGAGUCAUGAAAAUAUAAAAUAAGAUAAUACAUUCUUGGCUUAAUAUGUCCUUUUUGAGAAAACUACUCCAUUGAGGCUGUUCCCUAUUUAAAUUUAUCUUGCCUGAGAUUAUCAUAGGAUUUUUAUUAGUGUGCUGAGCCAACCACUUACCUGAGCUGAAGAUGCCUAUAAAUUUGCAAUUGAAAAAUUUCUGAGAUUAAGCCUACUAAUGUGCUGCUUAAUGUUUCUUAUUCUUCACAUUUUCUAAAUAUAUGUAUUUUUUAAAUUGAACUUCAUAAAUUUUAAUUUCUAAUCAAUAUUUUUAUUACAGGUGAUCAAAUAAUAAAGCACAUUUGAAUGCAGACUCGAGCAACUCCAAAUUUUGCGAAUCACUUUUAAGAACAUUUACAAAGGUGACCUGUUUAUUCUCUGCAUCAGAAUUAAUUACCCAGUUUUAAACCUGAGGCCUCAGCUUGGGAGGAAGACUGGGGCACAGUAAAGAUGCUGUAACUGUUCCCAUGGCAUGGACAGCUGGAGCAAAGGUUGGAGGGCGUGGGCCGUGUGACUCUUGUGUCUGUGAGGCAUGGGGAGAAGCGAAAACCAAGAAGGAUGGUCACAGCUAGGGCGGGAACCAGGAGAAGCAGCCACAGAAGUCAGAGGAGGAAAGAACUUCAAGAUGAGGAGGAUGAUCAGCAAUUCUGAGUUCUCAGGCAAUCAAAUAACAAAGCAC